GUCCAUUUUGGAUCCAUAAACUUUUUAAUUCAUUUCAUUUUGGUCCUUGAAAGUUUGAGAUGUUACUUACAAAGUGAAUUUGGCUUUAAACUUGGGCACUUAGAUUACAUAUUUUGUCUCACUGUAGAUCAAUGUCAAUGAAGAUAUGUAUGAUCUUCAGGCGUAUCUGAACUGUGUCGUUGACGAGUCUAGAAAAAUCUGAGGAUAAGGAAAAGAUUUGUUUUUGCUUUAUCAUUGAUUCUGGAAAAUCUCAUCUCACUGCUGUUAUUGCACGGAAGUGGCUGAACAGCAACAAACACUUGCUCUAAUUUCUGCUUGCUAACAACGAAUAAAGGUUAGUAUAUCUAUGAUUUUUGUUUCAGCGACAAUUGACCUUCAAUAUCUCUUUAAAGACAUGUUAUUGUUGACUUAGAACAUAAACUUUCGUGAUUUUACUUUUGGUUUCACCCAAAAAAAACCUCGUACUAAUAGAGAUGAUUGCAUUCUGACA
Molecule: long non-coding RNA, 490 nt
Organism: Cucurbita pepo subsp. pepo (vegetable marrow)
Lineage: Eukaryota; Viridiplantae; Streptophyta; Magnoliopsida; Cucurbitales; Cucurbitaceae
Source: RefSeq, a predicted model, not a curated record